CUCUGCUACAGUGACUGUCGACAUUACAGAGAACAAUUGCUCUGUCAGCCUGGGUCUACAGUACAGAAAUGCAGAGAAAAAACUGAGUGGGCCAAAACACAAGAUGCUGUUUAAUAAAAGUGUCAAAGAUGCAUAUCUCUUCAGUAUAUGCUGCAGCCUAUCAGACUGGGAAAAGGCAGAUGCUCACUGGUUCACCUUAUUUGGUUGAGAAACCACUGCACCCUUUCUGACUAAAACAUGCAAGAACCAAGACUCUGCAGUCAGCAACAUCCUGGAGCGGCAGUGAACUGAGCCAGGCCUUGUAAAAACAUCCUGCAAGAACCAUCAAUUCUUGGGGGCCAUGGAGCAGAGAAAAGAAACAUAUUCCUACUUUUGGUGAGAAGCAAGACACUGUAUCUCAUGAUAAAACAUAAAAUCAGAGAAUCUCAAAAAAAAGGCUGAAAAUAUUCUGCAUAAGCAUGAUUGGAAGGGCAUCAAAUGGCACUAAAUUAUCAAUUUUCAAUGGUGAAUCUACAGGCACAAGUAUCUGAACACUGGUCCAAAUGUGACAAAGUUAAUUUAGUAGUGGUGACCCCAUGGUAG
This is a long non-coding RNA of Choloepus didactylus (southern two-toed sloth), 582 nucleotides long. RefSeq lists it as uncharacterized. NCBI's taxonomy places the organism in Eukaryota, Metazoa, Chordata, Mammalia, Pilosa, Megalonychidae. The transcript is spliced from 6 exons. The record is from RefSeq and is a predicted model, not a curated record.